Molecule: long non-coding RNA, 2103 nt
Organism: Oreochromis aureus
Lineage: Eukaryota; Metazoa; Chordata; Actinopteri; Cichliformes; Cichlidae
Source: Ensembl
GGGGUCUCUCUGGGGGGCCAUUCUGCGCGCUGGAGGCUAAGUUGCCUGGAUCACCGGCUUCCUCUUCCCGGAGGAAGCGGCGCUCACGCCGCCGUCGCUCUGCCCCGGCUGAGCAACCUUCAGUCGUGAGUAAAAGUGACUCCUUUUCUUACGCGCCUCCAGAACCCACAAACAUAAGGAACUAUAAACUUACCCCAGAAAGCUUUGGGAUUUCUUUUUUGGAUGAGGAGUUGGACUUGGAGGAUUCUUUUUGUUCUGCUCCUCCUGAGGAGGUAAAAGACAAUCAUUUUUCAAGGACUGUUAACGCUGUUAAAUCAAAAACUGUAAGCCAUGUUACCAAGUCAGGUGCACCUGUAUCAGUUUCCCGGGUGAGGGGGGCCAGGGCCCAGUUGGUCCCUGCGCCGGAUUCAAGGACGGGUGAAGCUCUGCUAGUCUCUGCAUCUGUACCAGCUCCUUGGGUGGGGACAGCAGCUGCCCAGCCGUUGCCAGUACCUAUUCCGGCUCCCAGGGUGAGGGUGGCCAUGAACCAGCAACCUCCUACGCCCAUACCUAUCCCUCAGGUGGGAGUGACUGGUGUCCGGUCUGCCCCGGCGCCCAUGCCAGUUCCCAGGGCGAGGCUAGCCAGGACACAGCCCAACUCUGCACCGGUACCUACUCCUCAAGUGGGAGCGGCUAGUGUCCGGCAGGUGCCUGCACCCGUUCCUGUCUCCGUUGGAGGCUUAGGCUCUGCAUCUGCUCCCGCUGGAGGCUCUGGAGAGCCGUGCCAGCCGUCUGUUCCCGCUGGGGGCUCUGGAGAGUCCAUCCAGCUGUCCACAGCCUGCUCGUCCACGUCCAACACCACACUGUCACCAGCCACUUUCCACGCCGUCGGCUGAGCAUCUUUGCCAUCAUUGGUGGCCUCCUGAACUGUGUUGCCAAAGCCGCUUCCCACAUGGUCGGCGUCUGGACUUGCUUCACUGGUGCCGCCGCCGCUUUCUUCAUGGCCGGCACCCUGGACUGUCUCGUUGCUGCUGCUGGCUCCGCGAUCGGCCUCCAGAACUGCUCCACGGUCAGCCUCCUGAACGUUUUAGGCCUGGGCUCCUGUGCUUUCAUCCUCCAGGCCGGCCCUCUGAACUGUGUGGGAACUGUUUCUGGAGUUCCAGUGCUUGUUGUGGAUAUUCUGUUUUGGACUGUUCCAUGAGCUCUAGUGCUUUUUGUUAACUUUUUGUUUUGGACCCCCACCAUCCGCCCUGGUUGGGUUGUUUUUGUUUUGCUCUUCUGGUUUGGGCUGUCUGGAGCCAGCCCUUGAGGUGGGUGUACUUUCAAUGCGACCCAGUGUUGUGAGUGUGUACUAUUAUUGAUCUUUGAUUUCAUCAUAAUUUUUCACUGCUAGCCUCUUGGUUUUCAGUAUUUCUAGCUCCCUAGUUCCUUAGUAUUUCAUGAUUUCUGGUCUUUAGGUUUUGUUUAUGUGCCUCCUCUGUGUUCCGUGUUAUGUCUACUCUGUGUUCUGUUACUUUGACAUAGGACACGGACUUUCAAUGUAUUCUCUUUUGCUUCCUCCCUGUCUCCUCACGUCUGAUUAGGUUCAGCAUCUGUGUAUCAUCCCCGGUGUCAUUAUUCUGUUCAUCUUCCCCAGUGUCGCUCCAGCCAUGUUUCCAGGUGUCAGGUUGUUUAGUUCCAGUUUCAUGUUUAGCUGUUCCCAGUUUAGGUUUUUGUUGUUUUGUAGUGUUCAUUCAGCCACGAAUAAAGGCUCGCUUUCAGUUAAACAUCUUCAUCUCUAUUGUCUGCAUUUGGGUCCAUUCCUAAUUCUCUCCGCAUGAUUCACCUUUGCAAACUGUGACAUAAUGAUUAAUAAUAACCUUACUAUAAUGAUUGCAGCAUAAAUGUCUGUAUCUGCCCUUUUCUUCCUUAAGUGUUGUGCCAAAAACUUGCUCCAGGAAUUUAAACUGUUGAAGUGACUUGUUGAUCCAUAAUCUGUCCAAAAUUUGUCAAACAAAAAUGUGUUGUGAUUGAAAUAAAGUCAUUCUGAAUCAUAAUAAAACAUCCCAAUGACGAGGUAGAAGCUGCAAUGAGUUUGUGGCAAAGUAACUUUGAUAUUUCCUUUAUUUCCUUGGGUAAAAAAUC